This 224-nucleotide ribosomal RNA is filed under the name uncultured Acinetobacter sp. RNAcentral's name for it is "partial 16S ribosomal RNA". It matches the Rfam family "Bacterial small subunit ribosomal RNA", at positions 568 to 792 of the family's 1533-position model. Lineage: Bacteria; Pseudomonadati; Pseudomonadota; Gammaproteobacteria; Moraxellales; Moraxellaceae. The record is from RNAcentral.
UGCGUAGGCGGCUGAUUAAGUCGGAUGUGAAAUCCCUGAGCUUAACUUAGGAAUUGCAUUCGAUACUGGUCAGCUAGAGUAUGGGAGAGGAUGGUAGAAUUCCAGGUGUAGCGGUGAAAUGCGUAGAGAUCUGGAGGAAUACCGAUGGCGAAGGCAGCCAUCUGGCCUGCACUGACGCUCAUGCACGAAAGCGUGGGGAGCAAACAGGAUUAGAUACCCGCGUA